Salarias fasciatus (jewelled blenny) is the source of this 440-nucleotide long non-coding RNA. RefSeq lists it as uncharacterized. The record is from RefSeq and is a predicted model, not a curated record. The transcript has 3 exons. Lineage: Eukaryota; Metazoa; Chordata; Actinopteri; Blenniiformes; Blenniidae.
CUGAGGAAGGAGAGCGGGGAGAGGGUGACCUUUUGUCCUGUGGCAGCCAAAGGACAGAGUCCUGAGGAGUGGCUGUCCUCCCUGAAAUAAGUCCAGCAUGUCUCAGACUUCAGGCUGCAGCUUCUAAUCUCAUCAGAACAGCUCCAUUGUCUUCACGGCAGGAGCCGAUGGCCCUGCAGGGAGCGGGCCUCCCUCUCAGGGACAUCAAAGGAGCUGACACCUGAUUGGAUGAGACAAAAACAGGAGAAGACGUGGAGGUGAGCUGCAGAGUUCCUUCAGUUGUGAUCAGACUGCUUCUGAGGGAGAGAGAGAGGCUGCAUCACAUCUUGGUAUUUGGCUCCAUGUCUGAGAUGGAAGACCCGGUGAAGAGGAAUAGGACUCUGCGGGCCUGGAGAAGGGAGGAGGUCCAUAAAUGGAGGGCUGACAGGAAGUCCUACAUC